RNAcentral lists this unclassified non-coding RNA (253 nucleotides) under uncultured Pirellulaceae bacterium. RNAcentral describes it as "contains 16S-23S intergenic spacer region". It matches the Rfam family "Bacterial small subunit ribosomal RNA", at positions 524 to 776 of the family's 1533-position model. The record is from RNAcentral. Lineage: Bacteria; Pseudomonadati; Planctomycetota; Planctomycetia; Pirellulales; Pirellulaceae.
UACGAACUGCACAAACGUUAUUCGGAAUCACUGGGCUUAAAGAGUCCGUAGGCGGCCUAGAAGGUGAGGUGUGAAAUCCCACAGCCCAACUGUGGAACUGCGCUUCAAACCGCUAGGCUCGAGGGAGAUAGGGGUGAGCGGAACAGAUGGUGGAGCGGUGAAAUGCGUUGAUAUCAUCUGGAACACCGGUGGCGAAGGCGGCUCACUGGAUCUCUUCUGACGCUGAGGGACGAAAGCUAGGGGAGCGAACGGG